This 99-nucleotide ribosomal RNA is filed under the name uncultured bacterium. RNAcentral describes it as "partial 16S ribosomal RNA". It matches the Rfam family "Bacterial small subunit ribosomal RNA", at positions 1384 to 1482 of the family's 1533-position model. The record is from RNAcentral.
UACACACCGCCCGUCACACCAUGAAAGUUGUGCCUACCAGAAGUCGUUGCGUUGACCGUAAGGAGACAGACGCCCAAGGUAGGAACGAUGAUUGGGGUG